UACGUAGGGUGCAAGCGUUGUCCGGAAUUAUUGGGCGUAAAGAGCUCGUAGGUGGUUUGUCGCGUCUGCUGUGAAAACCCGAGGCUCAACCUCGGGCCUGCAGUGGGUACGGGCAGACUAGAGUGCGGUAGGGGAGAUUGGAAUUCCUGGUGUAGCGGUGGAAUGCGCAGAUAUCAGGAGGAACACCAAUGGCGAAGGCAGAUCUCUGGGCCGUAACUGACGCUGAGGAGCGAAAGCAUGGGGGAGCGAACAGG
RNAcentral lists this ribosomal RNA (254 nucleotides) under uncultured bacterium. RNAcentral's name for it is "partial 16S ribosomal RNA". It matches the Rfam family "Bacterial small subunit ribosomal RNA", at positions 524 to 776 of the family's 1533-position model. The record is from RNAcentral.